This 580-nucleotide ribosomal RNA is filed under the name uncultured bacterium. RNAcentral's name for it is "bacterial SSU rRNA". It matches the Rfam family "Bacterial small subunit ribosomal RNA", at positions 348 to 920 of the family's 1533-position model. The record is from RNAcentral.
AUUGCAGUAGGGAAUCUUCGGCAAUGGGGGGAACCCUGACCGAGCAACGCCGCGUGAGUGAAGAAGGUUUUCGGAUCGUAAAGCUCUGUUGUUAAGGAAGAACGAGUGUGAGAAUGGAAAGUUCAUACUGUGACGGUACUUAACCAGAAAGGGACGGCUAACUACGUGCCAGCAGCCGCGGUAAUACGUAGGUCCCGAGCGUUGUCCGGAUUUAUUGGGCGUAAAGCGAGCGCAGGUGGUUUAUUAAGCCUGGUGUAAAAGGCAGUGGCUCAACCAUUGUAUGCAUUGGAAACUGGUAGACUUGAGUGCAGGAGAGGAGAGUGGAAUUCCAUGUGUAGCGGUGAAAUGCGUAGAUAUAUGGAGGAACACCGGUGGCGAAAGCGGCUCUCUGGCCUGUAACUGACACUGAGGCUCGAAAGCGUGGGGAGCAAACAGGAUUAGAUACCCUGGUAGUCCACGCCGUAAACGAUGAGUGCUAGAUGUAGGGAGCUAUAAGUUCUCUGUAUUGCAGCUAACGCAAUAAGCACUCCGCCUGGGGAGUACGACCGCAAGGUUGAAACUCAAAGGAAUUGACGGAAUC